This 468-nucleotide ribosomal RNA is filed under the name uncultured bacterium. RNAcentral's name for it is "partial 16S ribosomal RNA". It matches the Rfam family "Bacterial small subunit ribosomal RNA", at positions 28 to 507 of the family's 1533-position model. The record is from RNAcentral.
GACGAACGCUGGCGGCGUGCUUAACACAUGCCAGUCGAACGGAAAGGCCCUGCUUUUGUGGGGUGCUCGAGUGGCGAACGGGUGAGUAACACGUGAGUAACCUGCCCUUGACUUUGGGAUAACUUCAGGAAACUGGGGCUAAUAACGGAUAGGAGCUCCUGCUGCAUGGUGGGGGUUGGAAAGUUUCGGCGGUUGGGGAUGGACUCGCGGCUUAUCAGCUUGUUGGUGGGGUAGUGGCUUACCAAGGCUUUGACGGGUAGCCGGCCUGAGCGGGUGACCGGCCACAUUGGGACUGAGAUACGGCCCAGACUCCUACGGGAGGCAGCAGUGGGGAAUAUUGCACAAUGGGCGGAAGCCUGAUGCAGCAACGCCGCGUGCGGGAUGACGGCCUUCGGGUUGUAAACCGCUUUCGCCUGUGACGAAGCGUGAGUGACGGUAAUGGGUAAAGAAGCACCGGCUAACUACGUG